RNAcentral lists this ribosomal RNA (476 nucleotides) under uncultured bacterium. RNAcentral describes it as "bacterial SSU rRNA". It matches the Rfam family "Bacterial small subunit ribosomal RNA", at positions 37 to 507 of the family's 1533-position model. The record is from RNAcentral.
UAGCGGCAGGCUUAAUACAUGCAAGUCGUGGGGCAGCAUGAGUAGCAAUACUUGAUGGCGACCGGCAAACGGGUGAGGAACACGUACACAACCUUCCUUCAAGCGGGGAAUAGCCCAGAGAAAUUUGGAUUAAUACCCCAUAAUAUAUUUGAUAAGGCAUCUUAUUAAUAUUAAAAGCUUCGGCACUUGAUGAUGGGUGUGCGGCUGAUUAGAUAGUUGGCGGGGUAACGGCCCACCAAGUCUACGAUCAGUAGCUGAUGUGAGAGCAUGAUCAGCCACACGGGCACUGAGACACGGGCCCGACUCCUACGGGAGGCAGCAGUAAGGAAUAUUGGACAAUGGACGAAAGUCUGAUCCAGCCAUGCCGCGUGAAGGAUUAAGGUCCUCUGGAUUGUAAACUUCUUUUAUAUGGGACGAAAAAGGGCAUUCUUGUUCACUUGACGGUACCAUAUGAAUAAGCACCGGCUAACUCCGUG